AGCCUCCUCCAGUAAUAACGGUUGUCUUGAACGUUCAAAUGCAUUGUGAUGCUUGUGCUCAAGCUUUGCAAAAACGGAUCCGCAAAAUUAAAGGGGUAGAAUCUGUUACGACAGACCUUGUAAAAAAUCAAGUAGUCGUAAAAGGUGUCAUUGACUCAGAAAAGAUAGCAAAUGAUGUUUAUAAGAGAACUGGAAAACAAGUUUCAGUUGUAAAGAAUGAAGAGAAAAAGGAAGAAGCUGAGAAGAAAGAAGAAGAGAAAAAAGAUAAAGAAGAAAAGAAACAAGGUGAAGCUGAGGAAAGCAAAGGAGAAGAUGAUCUACUAGAAAAUGGACCUAUAGCAACGGUAUUUGUCGCAACGGUUAUAUAAGACCAACCCGCAAGCAAACCGUUACAAGAGUGAAAUAAUCGUUGCCAUAGGGCAUUCUAUUGCAACAGUUGUUUUAACCGUAACGAUAGGAUUACCUGUGGCUACGGUUCUUUGCAAAAUAGGCCUAUGGAGACGGUUCAGUUUCCCUCCUAACUUUACCCACUUUUAUUUUUAUUUUCGUUUUUUCCCUCCUCCUUAUUUCACUAAACCCUAGACUUUGUUUUUAAUUUCUAAUAGCAAAAGAAAUAGAAGAACUCUUUCUAUCUCCAGACCCCAUCGAAAAUACUCUCUGGACAUAUCAAAGAAUACUCCCCCCUAGAUCCAACUUCCAAGCAAAUCUGAAGAUACCCAAUCCCUAGCCGCCGGAGAAGGAGAAGUCUCUUAAUUUUUCUUUAGCUGCAAAGUAGGUGAAGAGAUUUUGGUAGUAGUAGGGGGUGGAGAAGCUGCAAUUUCGGUGCGAAAAGCGCACAGACUUUGUCUCCUCAUCGUAAAGGUAUCAUUGAAAAGGCCAAUUUUUUAUCAAAGGUGUUGUAGAUGAAGAAAUGGAAGACAGAGGCAGUGAAGAUCUAAACCUUACUUAAAAAGACUUUUGAAUUGCUGUAGAUACAUGGUCUAGCCACGAACGAGUGUUUGUUAUCGUAUUUAUGUCAAAAUAUUUUACUUUUUAUGGAUAUUAUUAGGUCCUUGGACAAUUUGGAUUAUGAAUUGUUUCAUUUUGAUAUUUAUAUAAAUUUUACUGUUUUACUAUUUA
This is a non-coding RNA of Nicotiana tabacum (common tobacco), 1119 nucleotides long. NCBI's taxonomy places the organism in Eukaryota, Viridiplantae, Streptophyta, Magnoliopsida, Solanales, Solanaceae. The record is from RefSeq and is a predicted model, not a curated record.